AUUAAACGCUGGCGGAAUGCUUUACACAUGCAAGUCGAACGGCAGCACGGACUUCGGUCUGGUGGCGAGUGGCGAACGGGUGAGUAACAUAUCGGAACGUAUCCAAUAAUGGGGGAUAACGAGUCGAAAGAUUCGCUAAUACCGCAUACGCCCUACGGGGGAAAGCUGGGGACCUUCGGGCCUGGCGUUAAUGGAGCGGCCGAUAUCUGAUUAGCUAGUUGGUGAGGUAAAGGCUCACCAAGGCGACGAUCGGUAGCUGGUCUGAGAGGACGACCAGCCACACUGGAACUGAGACACGGUCCAGACUCCUACGGGAGGCAGCAGUGGGGAAUUUUGGACAAUGGGCGCAAGCCUGAUCCAGCCAUUCCGCGUGAGUGAAGAAGGCCUUCGGGUUGUAAAGCUCUUUCGCAAGGGAAGAAAACUUAGCCACUAACAUUGGUUGAGGUUGACGGUACCUUGAUAAGAAGCACCGGCUAACUACGUGCCAGCAGCCGCCGUAA
Molecule: ribosomal RNA, 500 nt
Filed under: uncultured bacterium
Lineage: Bacteria
Description: partial 16S ribosomal RNA
Rfam family: Bacterial small subunit ribosomal RNA
Source: RNAcentral